AUGGACCACGCGUCCACUCCUCGUCCACUGCGGUUGUGAGCGCGCCGUCCGCGCUCACCUGACAGCUGCUCGCUACAUUUUGUUAGCC
Molecule: small RNA, 88 nt
Filed under: Xanthomonas oryzae
Lineage: Bacteria; Pseudomonadati; Pseudomonadota; Gammaproteobacteria; Lysobacterales; Lysobacteraceae
Also listed under: 1 other name
Description: sX9 sRNA
Rfam family: Xanthomonas sRNA sX9
Source: RNAcentral